Molecule: ribosomal RNA, 301 nt
Filed under: uncultured bacterium
Lineage: Bacteria
Description: partial 16S ribosomal RNA
Rfam family: Bacterial small subunit ribosomal RNA
Source: RNAcentral
CAGUCGCCGCGGGAAUACGAAGGGUGCAAGCGUUAAUCGGAAUUACUGGGCGUAAAGCGUGCGUAGGCGGUGAGUUAAGUCUGCUGUGAAAUCCCCGGGCUCAACCUGGGAAUGGCAGUGGAUACUGGCUCGCUAGAGUGUGUCAGAGGAUGGUGGAAUUCCCGGUGUAGCGGUGAAAUGCGUAGAGAUCGGGAGGAACAUCAGUGGCGAAGGCGGCCAUCUGGGACAACACUGACGCUGAGGCACGAAAGCGUGGGGAGCAAACAGGAUUAGAUACCCCCGUAGUCCCUGUCUCUUAUAC